Molecule: long non-coding RNA, 322 nt
Filed under: Equus caballus (horse)
Lineage: Eukaryota; Metazoa; Chordata; Mammalia; Perissodactyla; Equidae
Description: lncRNA (ENSECAG00000044008.1)
Source: RNAcentral
GCCAUAAACAACAUUGUACACGUAUCUUCACCUCCUGGGAAUUGUACUCCUGUGUGAUAUAUUCCUGGGAGUUGUCAUGGAUAGAAAGGAAGAUUCACCCUGAGCCAACAUCCAUUGCCAAUACUCCUCUUUUUUGCUUGAGGAAGAUAAGCUCUGAGCCAACAUCUGUGCCAAUCCUCUUCUACCUUGCAUGUGGGAUGCCUCCACAGCAUGACUGAUGAGUGGAGUAGGUUUGUACCUGGGAUCCGAACCCAGGAACCUUGGGCCACAGAAGCGGAGCACAUGGAACUUUAACCACUCUGCCACCAGGCUAGCCCCCAAG